GUCGGGGUGGCUCAGCCUGGUUAGAGCGCCUGACUCAUAAUCAGGAGGUCGCGGGCUCAAAUCCCGCUCCCGACA
This 75-nucleotide transfer RNA is filed under the name Thermoplasmatales archaeon SG8-52-1. RNAcentral describes it as "tRNA-Met". It matches the Rfam family "tRNA". Rfam says of the family: Transfer RNA (tRNA) molecules are approximately 80 nucleotides in length. Their secondary structure includes four short double-helical elements and three loops (D, anti-codon, and T loops). Lineage: Archaea; Methanobacteriati; Thermoplasmatota; Thermoplasmata; Thermoplasmatales. RNAcentral also lists the same sequence under 1 other name. The record is from RNAcentral.